This 61-nucleotide transfer RNA is filed under the name Riftia pachyptila (tube worm). RNAcentral's name for it is "tRNA-Cys". The record is from RNAcentral. Lineage: Eukaryota; Metazoa; Annelida; Polychaeta; Sabellida; Siboglinidae.
CCUUAUAGUUGAAUUAACAACAUUAAAUUGCAGCUUUAAAAGUGUAGCCAUACUAAGGUUU